AACACACCAACCCCAAAACAAAGUGUUUGCCCCUCAGCAGUGGAUAUUUGCAACGCAAUCUUAGGCAUUUCUAUUCCUGCUGAGUUCAGUGGCGCUGACUUGGAGGUAGGUGGAUCAUGGGACAGAUGAAGUUAAUAGCCCAGUAGCUUACCGGUAUAUGCACUUAAGUUUGAUACACAAAACACAACAAAAAAGGAACUUCAGAUUUUAUGGCCCAGAGCAAGGAGCUGAGGGUUUGCUUUGGGUCACACAACUAAUCACAUAAUCACACACCCAGCCAUGGGUGUAGCUGCCCCCCCCCAUCAAUACUAGCAUACUGAGGUUCUGUCCCUCCCCUCCCAGAUCCUGGCUAUGCCAACAGUCUCCUCUGUAAACUAAGUCUUGAAUCACAUCUAAGCCUACACUUCUCUCUUUUUAAAUGCUAGUGUUUUUAUUUAGAUCUCAUUGAUGUACAGGCAUGCAUUUUUGUAUAAACGUUUUUUAAAUUUAAUUUUGAUAUAUAUAAAAGGAGGGAAAGAACAGAAAAAGUCCACGUCGAUAAUGUAGGUAUAAUAACAAAACCCAACAGUAAGGAAAACAGAUCACAUCAUGCUGAUCAUUGCAAUUUAACAAGGGAUCAAAUCAAGAGUUCCGUAUCUCAAGAGAGUUUGCUGGCUGUUGCAAGUAAUGUUUGCCAAAAUAUGUUACAAAAUCUCAGCAAAUAGUGGGAAAGGCGUCAGGUUUAGCAAGAUCCCACAGUGCCUGAAGAUGGAACGUAAGCUUUUCAGAAAGAGCCAUGUUCCACACUUUUUGUACUACACAAGGAUGUCCAUGUUUUGUAAAGUUUUCAAUUUUUCCACAAUGGUCAACUCAGGCAGCUACCAAUAAAGAAAAGCAAAAUAUAUUGAAACAGAACAUCUUGGUUAUUUCCUUUGAAGAUGGAGAGAAGGGCCAGCUGCAGUCUCAUCUAAAUUGCUCCUAUUAUUGCAGUCCUGGGUCUUGAGGCAUUUCCACCAUCACUUUAUUUAUUUCAUGAAAUUUAUACACUGCUUGAAUGCAAUAAAAUAAAAAAUUAAAGGAGUUUACAAAAAAAAGAUAAAACAAUAAAAUCAUUAUAAAGUGAAAAUAAGUACCACAUUCAGGGGCCACAUUAGACAAAAGACAAGAAAUUUGAACUGGGGCUCUGUCUCACUUAUGCCAAAGUUUUAACGCCGUUUCCCUAAUAUGGACUGAAAUAGAUUUCAAUGGUUUUUCCCAUCCAUAUUUUAUCCUACUGUCUUACCUUCCCAUAGAUUUUUGUACAGCUAAAACCCUUUAUUUCCAUGAACUAGGCCCUUUCCAAACCCCAUAUUUAAGAUGAUAGCCUCCCAAUCUUGCUAGAGGUCUAGUGUGUGGAUCUGACCACAGAUGGUCUAUCUGAUAUACUUGUAUCUAUCCUGCGUCCAGGUCACCAAAGUCCAGAUGAAGCUGCUCCUGGGUGACAGGAACAUCAUACCGGAAAAAAAGUUACACAUUCUGAUAUAGCCUUGUUUCCCAUUUUGAGAGGACCCUAUGAUAAG
Molecule: non-coding RNA, 1538 nt
Organism: Podarcis lilfordi (Lilford's wall lizard)
Lineage: Eukaryota; Metazoa; Chordata; Lepidosauria; Squamata; Lacertidae
Source: the annotation of a GenBank genome assembly